GACGAACGCUGGCGGCGUGCUUAACACAUGCAAGUCGAGCGGUAAGGCCCUUUCGGGGGUACACGAGCGGCGAACGGGUGAGUAACACGUGGGUGACCUGCCCUCAGCUCUGGGAUAAGCCUGGGAAACCGGGUCUAAUACCGGAUAUGACUCCAUGACGCAUGUUGUGGGGUGGAAAGCCUUGUGCGGCUGAGGAUGGGCCCGCGGCCUAUCAGCUUGUUGGUGGGGUGAUGGCCUACCAAGGCGACGACGGGUAGCCGGCCUGAGAGGGCGACCGGCCACACUGGGACUGAGACACGGCCCAGACUCCUACGGGAGGCAGCAGUGGGGAAUCUUGCGCAAUGGGCGAAAGCCUGACGCAGCGACGCCGCGUGAGGGAUGACGGCCUGGU
Molecule: ribosomal RNA, 391 nt
Filed under: uncultured bacterium
Lineage: Bacteria
Description: bacterial SSU rRNA
Rfam family: Bacterial small subunit ribosomal RNA
Source: RNAcentral